GAAACCAGAGGUCUCUAGAGAUCUAUGGUUUGUGAAACUAGAUAUUUUGGGUUCGAUCCCCAAUGGAUUUU
Non-coding RNA from Picea glauca (white spruce), 71 nucleotides. Lineage: Eukaryota; Viridiplantae; Streptophyta; Pinopsida; Pinales; Pinaceae. The record is from Rfam.